Molecule: long non-coding RNA, 1195 nt
Organism: Syngnathoides biaculeatus (alligator pipefish)
Lineage: Eukaryota; Metazoa; Chordata; Actinopteri; Syngnathiformes; Syngnathidae
Exons: 3
Source: RefSeq, a predicted model, not a curated record
GUAAUGGCGGCUCGAGUAAGACAUUCUCAGAGGUCUACCGAUCCACUACUACGUCCCUGGAUCGUAUUACAAAAAAAGAUGGCUGCGUUCUCUCCGGUCAUUGUACUUGUAUGGCCGGUCUUGGAGAAGAGUGUUCACAUGUUGCUGCCCUUCUUUUUGCAGUCGAGGCUGCAGUAAAAUUACAAGUUAGCAAGACAGUUAUAGAAGAAAAGUCUUACUGGUUACCGCCCUCUGCAGUUAAAAAUAGAAAUUCUUAUGUGGGUGAGGACCAAGCAUCAGGCAUCUAUACUUAGAAAGUCAUCAGUGGGCCUUCACUUGUCAGAAAUCCAGUGUGAUGGCUUCCAUCCUAACCCACCAACGAACUUCGAGGUUGGUCAAACCAGGUGUUGGGGAGUUCUCACUUUACAACAAUUCCAACAUUUGGAGUUCCCAAACAGCAAUAAUGAACAAGUUCACUCCACUUCCAGUCUGCAAGCCAACCAAAAAAAUUAUAGGUAUGGAAUUGUUCUUUUUUUUCUUAUUGAUUUGCAUUUGAGGCGGCACGGGGGCUCAACUUGUUACAAGGUCACAGUUCUGAGCACCAGGGUUCUAACCCUGGCCACACCUGUGUGGAGUCUGCAUGUUCGCCCCAUGGCUGUGUGGGUUUUCUCCGGGCACUCCGUUUUUUUUCCCACAUCCCAAAAAGAUGCAUCACUUGGAGACUCUAAAUUCCCCUUAGGUGUAAUUGUGAGUACGAAUAGUUCUUCCUAUCUCUGUGCCCUGCGAUUGGCUGGCAGUCAGUUCAAGGUCCACCCCGCCUCCUGUCCAAAGAUAGCUGGGAUAGGCUCCAGCAUUGCCACGACUCUUGUGAGCAUAAGCAGCUCAGCAAAUGGAUGGAUUUGCACUUGGUUACUGUCAUGAUGACUUGACUGCUAUGCUAGCAUAGGUGGAUGAUCGACUGGCAAUUUGUGACUUGUGUACCAGUUGGAUUGCAUCGCCACCCUAAGAAUGUAACUCUGUUGUAAACUGAGGAUAGCCUGAACACGUACAGCAAUAUUCAGUACAGAUUCAAGCUUAAUUCAUCCUUUCCAAUCAAAGCCAGCAAUGGCCUGAUUGUCUAUAAAACGGUGAUGGAUGGAUGGAAUCCCCAACUGGUAUGCAGGCUCCAUCUCGUGGUAUCCAAAAGAGUCGAGAAUAAGAAAGAAAUCCAAGUACA